RNAcentral lists this ribosomal RNA (253 nucleotides) under uncultured bacterium. Its description in RNAcentral is "partial 16S ribosomal RNA". It matches the Rfam family "Bacterial small subunit ribosomal RNA", at positions 524 to 776 of the family's 1533-position model. The record is from RNAcentral.
UACAGAGGUGGCAAGCGUUGUUCGGAAUUACUGGGCGUAAAGGGCGCGUAGGCGGUUCGUUAAGUCCUGUGUGAAAUCCCCCGGCUCAACUGGGGAACUGCACAGGAAACUAGCGGGCUUGAGUUCGGGAGAGGGAAGCGGAAUUCCGGGUGUGGCGGUGAAAUGCGUAGAUAUCGGAAGGAACAUCAGUGGCGAAAGCGGCUUCCUGGACCAGUACCGACGUUCAGGCACGAAAGCGUGGGGAGCAAACAGG